RNAcentral lists this ribosomal RNA (275 nucleotides) under uncultured bacterium. RNAcentral's name for it is "partial 16S ribosomal RNA". It matches the Rfam family "Bacterial small subunit ribosomal RNA", at positions 338 to 630 of the family's 1533-position model. The record is from RNAcentral.
CCUACGGGUGGCUGCAGUGAGGAAUAUUGGACAAUGGAGGCAACUCUGAUCCAGCCAUGCCGCGUGAAUGAUGAAGGCCCUAGGGUUGUAAAGUUCUUUAAGUUGGGAAAAUAAUGAUGGUACCAACAGAAUAAGCUCCGGCUAACUUCGUGCCAGCAGCCGCGGUAAUACGAAGGGAGCUAGCGUUACUCGGAAUUACUGGGCGUAAAGCGCAUGUAGGCGGAUCUACAAGUCAGGGGUGAAAUCCCGGGGCUCAACCUCGGAAUUGCCUUUGA